UACGUAGGGUGCAAGCGUUGUCCGGAAUUAUUGGGCGUAAAGAGCUCGUAGGCGGUCUGUCGCGUCUGCUGUGAAAACUCAGGGCUUAACCCUGAGCUUGCAGUGGGUACGGGGCAGACUAGAGUGCGGUAGGGGGAGACUGGAAUUCCUGGUGUAGCGGUGAAAUGCGCAGAUAUCAGGGAGGGAACACCGGGUGGGCGAAAGGCG
Molecule: ribosomal RNA, 207 nt
Filed under: uncultured bacterium
Lineage: Bacteria
Description: partial 16S ribosomal RNA
Rfam family: Bacterial small subunit ribosomal RNA
Source: RNAcentral